RNAcentral lists this ribosomal RNA (450 nucleotides) under uncultured bacterium. RNAcentral describes it as "partial 16S ribosomal RNA". It matches the Rfam family "Bacterial small subunit ribosomal RNA", at positions 330 to 794 of the family's 1533-position model. The record is from RNAcentral.
ACCAGACUCCUACGGGAGGCAGCAGUGGGGAAUAUUGGGCAAUGGAGGCAACUCUUACCCAGCAAUGCCGCGUGAAUGAAGAAGGUCUUCGGAUUGUAAAGUUCUUUAAUUGGGGACGAAAAAAAUGACGGUACCCAAGGAAUAAGCCCCGGCUAACUACGUGCCAGCAGCCGCGGUAAUACGUAGGGGGCAAGCGUUGUUCGGAAUGACUGGGCGUAAAGCGCUCGUAGGCGGUAUGUCAAGUCAAGGGUGAAAUCCCCGCGCUCAACGUGGGAACUGCCUUUGAAACUGGCAAACUGGAGUGUGUGAGAGGAUAGUGGAAUUCCAGGUGUAGGAGUGAAAUCCGUAGAUAUCUGGAGGAACAUCAGUGGCGAAGGCGGCCUGCUGGACCGUGACUGACGUUGAGGCUCGAGAGCGUGGGGAGCAAACAGGAUUAGAUACCCUGGUAGA